AUUGAACGCUGGCGGCAGGCCUAACACAUGCAAGUCGAGCGGAUGAAGGGAGCUUGCUCCUGGAUUCAGCGGCGGACGGGUGAGUAAUGCCUAGGAAUCUGCCUGGUAGUGGGGGAUAACGUCCGGAAACGGGCGCUAAUACCGCAUACGCCCUGAGGGAGAAAGUGGGGGAUCUUCGGACCUCACGCUAUCAGAUGAGCCUAGGUCGGAUUAGCUAGUUGGUGGGGUAAAGGCCUACCAAGGCGCCGAUCCGUAACUGGUCGGAGAGGAUGAUCAGUCACACUGGAACUGAGACACGGUCCAGACUCCUACGGGAGGCAGCAGUGGGGAAUAUUGGACAAUGGGCGAAAGCCUUACCCAGCCAUGCCGCGUGUGUGAAGAAGGUCUUCGGAUUGUAAAGCACUUUAAGUUGGGAGGAAGGGCAGUAAGUUAAUACCUUGCUGUUUUGACGGUACCAACAGAAUAAGCACCGGCUAACUUCGUG
RNAcentral lists this ribosomal RNA (484 nucleotides) under uncultured bacterium. Its description in RNAcentral is "partial 16S ribosomal RNA". It matches the Rfam family "Bacterial small subunit ribosomal RNA", at positions 30 to 507 of the family's 1533-position model. The record is from RNAcentral.